GGCACAACCGCAACCCGCGCGUACGUCUCGCCGGUUUCCGCGAUUUAUCGAAAUAUAAACACUACUAGUUAAUUGCUUGCUAUGAACAACGAUCGGUGUUUAUCAAACAGCUCCGUGUUGAUCGAUUUUACCUCAACCCGUGUAUUGGUUUAAGUUCGUUGGUGCAAUGGCGAUGAAGGAGUGGCUGCAGUGGCUGCCGCCGCCGCGGUCGUUGCUCGCUCUGGUGGUGGCGGUAGGCGGUUUCAGCGGGCGGCUGUUCGCGGCGCACGUCACUCACUCGCCCACGCUGCUCGUCGACGCCUGCCACGCCCUCUGCCGUCUCGUCGGCCUCAUCACCACGUUGCUGGCAUACAAGUACGAGCGCGCGGACGAAGGCGAGGGCCACGAGGGGCGACUCCGCAACACUUUCGGCUGGGCCCGCAUCGAGGUCGUCGGCCGGCUGUCCGUUCACGUGCUGUUCGCGUCCUUCGCCUUAACCCUGGUGGUUAACGCGCUCCAGCUCGCAGUGCACUCCUCCCACGGCCAACCGCCGCUCUACCCGAAACUGAUACUGGGAUGCGGCGUCAUAGGGCUACUGCUGUACGCGAUUAACUAUAUGCUGUUGGCGGGACGUGAGCUAAGCUACAGCCGGAGGCUCAGUAUGACGGAAGGCGGCGAGGUGGUGCUGAAAACGGGCGCGGGGGAGCCGGUGCUCGCGUACGCACCCGCUGAUAUCGCCAGCAGCCUGUUCGUGAUGGGCGCGGGCAUGAACCUGGAGUGGGAGCUACUGCCGGCCAAGAUCGCCGACCCCGCCAUGUCCGCCGCCGCCGCCAUCCUGCUCGUCAUAUUCAACUACCCCUUUAUGCGAUCGGCUGGGCUGAUACUGCUGCAAACCGUACCGGAGGGGCUCGGGGCAGGCGCGCUGCGGGCGGCAGCGCUGCGCGUGCCCGGUGUGCGCGCAAUACACGAGCUGCACGUGUGGCAGCUGCACAGAGACAAGCUGGUCGCCACCGCUCACGUCGCUUAUGAAUCACCCGAGGACUACCUCCGCAGCUCGGCGCUCGUGUGCGACGUGUUCAAGCGACACGGCAUCGGCCUGGUCACACUACAGCCAGAGUUUCUGUUCACUUCCAAGACCGGAUCAGAAGAAGAGAACUUAUUAGUUGAGUUCGCGAACGUGGCGUGCUCUUGUCCGUGCGCAAAGCAGUGCGCGGCGCCGCGGUGUUGCCAGCCCCCGCCGCCGCCGCCGCCCGUCACCAGGAUUUGACAGUGUUGCCAACUUGCUAUAUACACUUUGAUGUAGGCCCAUAUUAAAAACCGCUCCGUUAUAACAUACCUACUCUGGGCUGAUGAGCUAUGAGAGUCUUAAAAUAUAUGACAUUUUAUUAUAAUAAUUUCAUUAGUUAAAUAAUUAGGUCAAGUCUCGACCUGACAGUGUUAAAUAAAACGCCAUCCCAAGAAUGAUCUCGAGCAUUAACUUGGUGGUUAGAGCGGCUUAUUAACGGAUCGUAAAGGUAGCGUUUCACAAAAUAGACCAGCCAAAAAGGAUCGCAAUUUCGUGGGACGAGGAGUUAGAGCAUUAGUAAAGGCAGCCGUAAGUUGAUCACAUGGUAUGACGUAUUGGUAGUUGUUAAUUGUUAUACCCAUAGGCCACGUUUCCUGACUGGCCUUAAAAUUAUGCGCAGUCUUAUCGCAAUGCGAUGUCGCAGAGACAAAAUACAUAGGAGAAGGACAGGGAUAUAUUUUAUUUAAAACAUAAUGCCUUUAUCAUUAUAACCGCGCUUUUGCAAAAUUUGCGCUAUUUUAAGAGGUGUUCAAUAAUCACGUAUUGAUGUUAAUUAAUUAUUGACAUAACUUCUAACCAAAUUUGAAAACUUACAACGUGGGUAUAAGCAAGCCAAAGUUCAAUCGAAUAGAAUAAGUUCUAAGUAGUGCCUCUGUUUACAAAACUACAUGGUUAAAAUGCUCAAUAAAUUAACCAUUGAGACAAAAAGGUGUUACAAAAUCCUAUAAUAUAAUAUUUUAUG
This is an RNA transcript of Aricia agestis (brown argus), 2006 nucleotides long. It is a transcript of the gene named zinc transporter 1, with no coding region annotated. The transcript is spliced from 9 exons. NCBI's taxonomy places the organism in Eukaryota, Metazoa, Arthropoda, Insecta, Lepidoptera, Lycaenidae. The record is from RefSeq and is a predicted model, not a curated record.